GUUUAGGAGGUCAGAUCCUGCCUCAGCAGCUGCACAACCUCAGCUUAUGGAUUUGCUGCACAAUCAUCGGUCCAAUGCCCAAUCCCGGGUCCACAAUGCUGCAACAUUUGUUGCAGCCAAGUCGAAGCUUGACACAGUGCUGCUCCCCAAUGAUUCCAUUGGGCACUUUGGCAUUGCCUUGUAUUUGCAGCCGCGCCUCUCGGAGGAGUUUAUUGAAUUUCUGGAAGCUUGCAUUUCUGCAUUGUGGAAUGCUUGUAGAGGUGUUUGUUCAGCUCUUUCGGCAUGAUCUUGAUCGUCUUCUUUUCUGUGAGGUAAUGUUAAAUGUAUAUUAUUUUACUAGUAUACUUAAUUCUGCCCCUAAGUAAUGUAGCCUCUUAUUUAUCUCCUGUUUUGAGAUUGAUGUUGUAUUGCAGAUAAGUAGUUCAGUGUUAUGAAUUCUGGAUUUUCAGUUGUUGCAUAUGCAUUGUCACAGAUGUGAAUAUUAUCAUUAGAUGUUGUAUUGUGGAUAAGUUCGGUGUUCUAAUUGUAAAUUCUGGAAUUUCAAUUGUUGCAUAUGCAUUGUCACAGAUGUGAAUGUUAUCAUUAGAUGAUGUAUUGCGAAUAAGUAGUCUGGUGUUAUGAUUUCUAAAUUCUGGAUUUUCAAUUGUUGCAUAUGCAUUGUCACAGAUGUGAAUGUUAUCAUUAGUUUAUUGUCUAACUUGCUUAUCAAGCUCAAUUAUACUGUAGCUAUGGAGCUGCCUUGGACCAAACAUUUUUUCAAAUUCAUACCACUUCCCUCCUUUAGCAUAUAUGUUAGAAAAUAAGGUGUGGUAUCCAGAUUCAUCUGUGCUAAUAUCUAAAAGGUUUCUUUCAAAAGCUUUUAAUCAUGUCCAUCCUUUGGUGGUCUCGAUUGCUCUGUUGAUGUACGUGACAGUUUGGUAUCGAUUGGUUUUGGGAUGAAUGAAAUGAAAGCAGUUUUGAUAGUGAGAGACUUGUUAGAAGAGUUCAAGGUGAUGAAGUUGGUGUUCUAGGAUUUUCCCUUUGAGAUGAUGAUCUUCUAGGAUAAGUUGCCUUUAUAUGCUAGUGUUAGAGAAAAUUGUUUUCUUUUAGAAUUCCACUUUCUUGUAAUAGAUAAUGAAUUGACUUCCUUGAUUGCUAACAAGUACAUUAAAGAUUGGAUUCUUUCCGUUAAAUGCAUCAGACGUAUGAGAGAGUUUUGUGUCCGUACUUGUUCCACGAGGAUUUUGGAGCAAACAGUCAUCAACCCAAGUAAAAAGAUGGGGACCAAAAAAGUAACCACUCAUUUAG
Molecule: long non-coding RNA, 1287 nt
Filed under: Prunus dulcis (almond)
Lineage: Eukaryota; Viridiplantae; Streptophyta; Magnoliopsida; Rosales; Rosaceae
Description: sRNA ncRNA
Source: RNAcentral